This 429-nucleotide ribosomal RNA is filed under the name uncultured bacterium. Its description in RNAcentral is "bacterial SSU rRNA". It matches the Rfam family "Bacterial small subunit ribosomal RNA", at positions 355 to 775 of the family's 1533-position model. The record is from RNAcentral.
UGGGGAAUUUUGCGCAAUGGGCGAAAGCCUGACGCAGUAACGCCGCGUGGAGGAUGAAGGCCUUCGGGUCGUAAACUCCUGUCAGGGGGAAAGACAGGUAUUUGUCGAAUAAACAAAUACUUUGGACGGUACCCUCAAAGGAAGCCCCGGCUAAUUCCGUGCCAGCAGCCGCGGUAAUACGGAAGGGGCAAGCGUUGUUCGGAAUCAUUGGGCGUAAAGGGCGCGUAGGCGGUUUUGUUUGUCCGCUGUAAAAGUCCACGGCUCACCCGUGGAGAGUCGGUGGAAACGGCAAGACUUGAGGCUGGGAGGGGUUGGUGGAAUUCCCUGUGUAGCGGUGAAAUGCGUAGAUACGGGGGAGAACACUCGUGGCGAAGGCGGCCAGCUGGCCCAGUCCUGACGCUGAGGCGCGACAGCGUGGGGAGCAAACAG